RNAcentral lists this ribosomal RNA (302 nucleotides) under uncultured bacterium. RNAcentral describes it as "partial 16S ribosomal RNA". It matches the Rfam family "Bacterial small subunit ribosomal RNA", at positions 508 to 807 of the family's 1533-position model. The record is from RNAcentral.
GCAGCAGCCGCGGUAAUACAGAGGGUGCGAGCGUUAAUCGGAAUUACUGGGCGUAAAGCGUGCGCAGGCGGUUAUAUAAGACAGAUGUGAAAUCCCCGGGCUCAACCUGGGAACUGCAUUUGUGACUGUAUAGCUAGAGUACGGCAGAGGGGGAUGGAAUUCCGCGUGUAGCAGUGAAAUGCGUAGAUAUGCGGAGGAACACCGAUGGCGAAGGCAAUCCCCUGGGCCUGUACUGACGCUCAUGCACGAAAGCGUGGGGAGCAAACAGGAUUAGAUACCCGCGUAGUCCUUGUCUCUUAUAC